Molecule: unclassified non-coding RNA, 1993 nt
Organism: Vigna unguiculata (cowpea)
Lineage: Eukaryota; Viridiplantae; Streptophyta; Magnoliopsida; Fabales; Fabaceae
Source: RefSeq, a predicted model, not a curated record
CCUUACCAGACUCUUAGAAGAGAUGACAAGUGAAUGAAAUGUGAUUUUAACAUCUUUUAUGAUUAUCGUUGUACCUUUGAAGAGUUGACUUCAAUUCUUUUGGAUGGAGUUCGCUUCUUCAUCAUCAUCAUCAUCCUCAUCCUUCAUAAAAUCAGAACCCCGUUUCAUAUACGAUGCAUUCAUCAACUUCGGGGGAGAAGACAUCGGUAGAAAGUUCGCUUCUCAUCUCACUUAUGCCCUUUUACAAGCUCAAGUCAAAACUUUUAUUAGCGACGAGAGUCUGCCGAAGGGACUGGAGCUGGAAGAGCACAUGCGAGCAAUAGGAGGCACUAAGAUUGCAAUAAUCGUUUUCUCCAAAACAUACACUGAAUCGGCCUGUUGUCUUCUUGAGCUAGAAAAAAUUAUUGAAUGCCUCGAAACUUUUGGGCAAAUAGUUUUGCCCGUAUUUUACGACAAUGGACCACGGUAUGUACGUGAUCAUGAUCGGAAUGAUUUUGGAAAAGCGAUGGAAGAAACUGCACGCAAAAGCUAUUCAGGUGAACAACUGAAGCAAGUGUUGUCAAGGUGGAGGCGUGCUCUAAACAAAGCUGCAGGUAUCAUCCAUGGUUUGUAUGGUAGAAAUUUCAGGCAUGAUGCUGAACUUGUGGAGGUAACUGUUAGACGCGUUCAGUCUUUGCUGGACUAUGAGGACUUGUCUGUUUUUCCUUUUCCUGUUGAAUUAGAGUCCCACGUAAAAAAGGUGAUUAAAUGUAUUGAAAAUCAUUCCACCAAAGUGUUCAUGAUAGGGAUAUGGGGAAAGGAAGGAUCGGGUAAAACUAUCUUAGCCAAAGUCAUCUAUAAUCGAAUUUAUCGUCGAUUCAUUGGUAAGAAUUAUUUUGAAUAUAUUAAAGGAGUUUGGGAUCGAGUAGAUAGAAGGGAUGUUGAUUUGAAAGAAUUUGUUAAUGAUGUCCUAAAAGACAAGUUCGAGAUUGAAAGCAUUCGGAGGCGAAGAGUUAUUAUGGAGAAGACUGAACUUUUUCGAAGGAAGUUGCUCAUUGUGUUUGAUGGUGUGACUGAGUUUGGCCAACUAGAAAGCCUAUACCGGAAUCGUAAAUGGUUCGGUCAAGGAACUGUAAUUAUCAUUACAACUAGAGAUGUUCAAAUACUGAAGCGACUCAAAGUUGAUUAUGUUUAUAAAAUGAAUGUUAUGAACGAAAAUAAUUCCCUUUUAACUUUUCAGUUCUCAUGUCUUCAGAUAAGCAUAACCAAGAAAAGAACUGAAUGAACUUGCAAGAAACAUAGUUGUUUAUCGUGGAGGGCUAUCACUAGCUCUUAAGUUCCUUGGUUCCUUUUUAUGUGUUAGAACAAUGGAAAAGUGGGAUUGUGUAUUCUCAAACCUAAAAUUAAUUCCCACUGGUAUACUUCAAGAGAAUUUGAAAAUAAGUUUAAUUUGACGGUGACAGGGAAAAGGAUAUAUUUCUUGAUGUGUGUAUUGGUAAAGAGAGAGACUAUGUCACAAAGAUACAGUGUGAAAGGAAAAACACCCUUGAAAUGCAUUCUUUGUUACGUGACAUGGGCAGAGACAUUAUCCGUCAAAGAUGGCCAAAGCAACAGAGGAAAAGAAGUCGAUUAUGGUUUCAGGAUGAUGUAAAAGAUGUAGUACUGACAAAGAAUAUUGGGAUGUGGUGGAAGAUGGAAGUAAUCCAACUCCAUUACCACACAACACAAUAAUGGCUCAGAGAAGAUCACAAUGAAGAAGAGACAAAGGAUAGGGAUUUGUUGUUUCAGAUAGUGAAAUCAAAGUCUACAAGCUUUAAAAAGCUCCAUAUAUAUUUACAUAGGCACCAAGAGGCUGAUAUAGUAGAAUUGACAAUUAUCUUUUACCUUAGGUAUUUAAACGAAGUGAAACAAAGCUACCUAUGUAAGAAGAUUAUGCAGUGAAGUGCAACUUAUUGUGUCAUUGUAUGUUAAUGAUUAUCUAGUUAUUGAAAAUACUUCAGGUUCCUUGAGAAAA